RNAcentral lists this transfer RNA (57 nucleotides) under Camelus bactrianus (Bactrian camel). It matches the Rfam family "tRNA", at positions 8 to 63 of the family's 71-position model. From Rfam's summary of the family: Transfer RNA (tRNA) molecules are approximately 80 nucleotides in length. Their secondary structure includes four short double-helical elements and three loops (D, anti-codon, and T loops). Lineage: Eukaryota; Metazoa; Chordata; Mammalia; Artiodactyla; Camelidae. The record is from Rfam by way of RNAcentral. RNAcentral also lists the same sequence under 2 other names.
UAGCUCAGGGGUAGAGCGCAUGCUUAGCAUGCAUGAAGUCCUGGAUUCAAUCCCCAG